CAAAUCAAAAGUACUCUAAUAUAUUUGUUAUAGCACUCAGAAUAUAAUUUCGGCUUGGAGAAUAUCAAACAGAAUUUUGGGGCGCUUAAGAACGGCGUGUUAAUUAGGAACAUAUGUUACGAAGCAUAAAUAGUUCUCAAUUAUACUUUUUAUUUUUGCAUCAAUCAAAGAGAGAUUAAGUGAUUUUAACUUAUUUAUCAAUAAGAUAAGACUUAUAUAAAAAAUGAAAAGCUUUUAUCUUUGCGUUGUUUUUUUUGGUGUAAUCACAUGCAAUUUGGUCAAAAAAGUGGCAUUAGAUAGCAAACAAAUAAACAGCAUAAAUAUAAAAAAAAACGAUGAAGUCAUUGGUACUGAUUCGUGUCGUGCUUUUGAUCAAAUACCGUUGUGUGCUUCUAAUUUAAGAACAUAUAGAAACUUGUGUUCAUUUUCCGAAAUCAAGCGCAAAACAAAUGAUAAGAAUCUUGUGAUUAUUUAUUGGGGUUAUUGUAAAUAUUGAUAAUUGUAUAAUUGUAUAACUGUUUUCUUUUAGUAAAUUUUUUAAAUUGUAAUUGUUUACAUAUAUCAAGAUAAACUUCAGAAGUCAAA
Hydra vulgaris (swiftwater hydra) is the source of this 585-nucleotide long non-coding RNA. RefSeq lists it as uncharacterized. The record is from RefSeq and is a predicted model, not a curated record. Lineage: Eukaryota; Metazoa; Cnidaria; Hydrozoa; Anthoathecata; Hydridae.